RNAcentral lists this non-coding RNA (29 nucleotides) under Bombyx mori (domestic silkworm). The record is from RNAcentral. Lineage: Eukaryota; Metazoa; Arthropoda; Insecta; Lepidoptera; Bombycidae.
UAAUACGAAUCCGGCUCGUUUGGACCAAA